GACGAACGCUGGCGGCGUGCUUAACACAUGCAAGUCGAGCGGUAAGGCCCUUUCGGGGGUACACGAGCGGCGAACGGGUGAGUAACACGUGGGUGACCUGCCCUCAGCUCUGGGAUAAGCCUGGGAAACCGGGUCUAAUACUGGAUAUGACUCCAUGACGCAUGUUGUGGGGUGGAAAGCCUUGUGCGGCUGAGGAUGGGCCCGCGGCCUAUCAGCUUGUUGGUGGGGUGANGGCCUACCAAGGCGACGACGGGUAGCCGGCCUGAGAGGGCGACCGGCCACACUGGGACUGAGACACGGCCCAGACUCCUACGGGAGCAGCAGUGGGGAAUCUUGCGCAAUGGGCGAAAGCCUGACGCAGCGACGCCGCGUGAGGGAUGACGGCC
This 386-nucleotide ribosomal RNA is filed under the name uncultured bacterium. RNAcentral's name for it is "bacterial SSU rRNA". It matches the Rfam family "Bacterial small subunit ribosomal RNA", at positions 28 to 416 of the family's 1533-position model. The record is from RNAcentral.